CAGUAGCCGCGGUAAUACGAAGGGGGCUAGCGUUGUUCGGAAUUACUGGGCGUAAAGCGCACGUAGGCGGAUUUUUAAGUCAGGGGUGAAAUCCCGAGGCUCAACCUCGGAACUGCCUUUGAUACUGGAGAUCUUGAGUUCGGAAGAGGUUGGUGGAACAGCUAGUGUAGAGGUGAAAUUCGUAGAUAUUAGCUAGAACACCAGUGGCGAAGGCGACUGACUGGACAAGUAUUGACGCUGAGGUGCGAAAGCGUGGGGAGCAAACAGGAUUAGAUACCCCCGUAGUCCCUGUCUCUUAUAC
RNAcentral lists this ribosomal RNA (301 nucleotides) under uncultured bacterium. Its description in RNAcentral is "partial 16S ribosomal RNA". It matches the Rfam family "Bacterial small subunit ribosomal RNA", at positions 509 to 807 of the family's 1533-position model. The record is from RNAcentral.